Molecule: ribosomal RNA, 253 nt
Filed under: uncultured bacterium
Lineage: Bacteria
Description: partial 16S ribosomal RNA
Rfam family: Bacterial small subunit ribosomal RNA
Source: RNAcentral
UACGUAGGGUGCAAGCGUUAAUCGGAAUUACUGGGCGUAAAGCGUGCGCAGGCGGUUGGGCAAGACCGGGGUGAAAUCCCCGGGCUUAACCUGGGAAUGGCCUUUGUGACUGCACGGCUAGAGUGUGUCAGAGGGGGGUAGAAUUCCACGUGUAGCAGUGAAAUGCGUAGAGAUGUGGAGGAAUACCGAUGGCGAAGGCAGCCCCCUGGGAUAACACUGACGCUCAUGCACGAAAGCGUGGGGAGCAAACAGG